Non-coding RNA from Pseudonaja textilis, 507 nucleotides. NCBI's taxonomy places the organism in Eukaryota, Metazoa, Chordata, Lepidosauria, Squamata, Elapidae. The record is from RefSeq and is a predicted model, not a curated record.
UCUUUUGACCCCAGCGAUUAAGUAGCAGCAGAACAUUAAGUGGAAGCAGAUAUUUGCAAGUGCAGAGGGACUGGGUGUGAUUGUGUGGGGACUGGAGACUUACCCGAAGAAUUGGCAACCUUCCCUGCAAGCUUCCCAGGAAGGAAGUUGCAAGUUGAAAUCUGCUACUGUGAUCCCACCAUCACCUAAGUGAUCCGCAUCGACUUUUUCCUGCAAGCUUCCCAAAUGAGUUGUGGGAAGAUGUUAGGGAACACCUAGAGUCACCCCAAACAGUGAGAUGAGUGGCAUAUAAAUUUAAUAAAUAAUGUUAUUGAGGAUCAUGACCACUGCAGCAUAGCGGUAAUAUUGAACAGCAACCUCACACUGAAACGACUUUUUCAACAAAGAACUGAAUGGCUCAUGGGCUGCUCUGGAGCACAGCUCCCCGAAUUGUCCUGCAGACUGCUGCUGCAUGGAGGAUCUUGUGGAUGAUUCUAGGACUUUCCCUAACCCCGGAGUGUCAUAUAA